Long non-coding RNA from Acinonyx jubatus (cheetah), 687 nucleotides. RefSeq lists it as uncharacterized. The record is from RefSeq and is a predicted model, not a curated record. The transcript is spliced from 3 exons. Lineage: Eukaryota; Metazoa; Chordata; Mammalia; Carnivora; Felidae.
GAACUGAAGUCAUCUGAUAACUGAAAGUUUGUACUGUUUUAUCAAUGCUUCCCCAUUUCCUCUACCUCUAAACCCUGGCAACCACCAUUCCUUUAUUUCUCUGAAUUCAGUGUUUUUACAGUUGGAAUAUAAGUGAGAUCAAAUAGUAUGUGUCCUUCUUAGACUUAUUUAUCCAGUCCCACAGGGGCCUGGAACAACUACAGCAGCGGUGAAGAGAGAGAGGAGGACAGGAUCUAAUAGACAGAAAUAACAGGAUUUGGUGACCAGCUGGAACUGAGUAAUGAAAGAGAAGCUGGAGGGGCCACCCGCAGUGGGCACACUUAACUUCCAACUUCGGCUCAGGUCAUGAUCUCACCAUUGGAAAAUCUCUAAGUGUGUCUUAAUGGAGAAAAGAAGAAAGCAUGUUAAGUGGAAGGUAUUUCCAACAACAAUAAAGGAGAGAUCUUAAAUCAGAAGUUUUCAAAGUGCCUGCUUCCUACAGGGGCAUGCUGGGCCUAGGACACGAUUGGAUCCUACCUUCACCCAUUUCAGCAGGAUACUGCAGCUUGAUUCUGAUUAGAAGUUGAGCUGAAUCCUGACUGCCUAGAAGACUGUCGCAUCUGUUUUGAAGUAACUGUUUCAUGCAAAGCCUGGAUGAGAUGCCUAGGGAAAAAAAAAAAACAAAACAAAACAGACCUUUCCAAUAAA